GGAAUCUCUGAACGGGAGCACCUGGCAAAGGUCACCUUUAAAUUGAAGCACAAACCUAUUCCUUUGGGUUAAGUUGGUGCUUUGGUCUUACUGCAGAAGUUGGCACACCUGGGCUGCUGGCCGUGUUACCCAGGACUCACCUCCUUGCGAUUCUUCCUGGUGAGGCUCUGCCAUGCUUGAACCAGGGCAUCCUUUCUCUUGGCAGCCCUGCUGGUGCCGAUCCAUUGGGGCUCUGAACAUCAGAAUGGCACUGGGCCUCCAUGAAGUUCCUUAAGGAGGACAACAGAGGAAUGUUGGAUCCUAUGUGGCUGAUGUGUGGAUGUGAUAUUCAGGUGCAGUGCCAUCCAUUUCCAAGCUUAUCAUAAAUCUUGAUAUAUUUUCACUCUGAUAAUUCGGCAGGCUGCUUGGAGCGGGGGAGGAGCUUCUUGGCAGAGCAGCUGAAUGGCAGCCAAAGAAGGGUACAAGACAAUCUGAACAGUGUUCAGCACGAACAUUUUGCAAUACUCCCCUCUAAUAAUUGGGGUGGUCUCACUUUUGCUCUUCUACACAUCUGUCACCCAACUCUAAUCUGAAAGUUUGGGCUUCUGGCUUUCAUGUCAGUGAUAUCAAAUGGAGCUGAAUGCUGAAAAUGAACUUCAACAAUUCAGAACAAGGCCAAGAAAGUCUGUAAUGCAGAAAGAAGUUCAGGAUACCCAUGCUAGUGCUGGUACACACUCAUGCCCACUUCACAGCACACUUUGGUGCUUUACUGACAUAAAUCCCAGUUGCUCUAAU
RNAcentral lists this long non-coding RNA (774 nucleotides) under Gallus gallus (chicken). Its description in RNAcentral is "long non-coding RNA NONGGAT007941". Lineage: Eukaryota; Metazoa; Chordata; Aves; Galliformes; Phasianidae. The record is from RNAcentral.